RNAcentral lists this transfer RNA (74 nucleotides) under Spirochaetota bacterium. Its description in RNAcentral is "Spirochaetes bacterium (hot springs metagenome) tRNA-Met". It matches the Rfam family "tRNA". From Rfam's summary of the family: Transfer RNA (tRNA) molecules are approximately 80 nucleotides in length. Their secondary structure includes four short double-helical elements and three loops (D, anti-codon, and T loops). Lineage: Bacteria; Pseudomonadati; Spirochaetota. The record is from RNAcentral.
GGCGGGGUAGCUCAGCUGGCUAGAGCAGCGGAAUCAUAAUCCGUUGGUCGUGGGUUCGAUUCCCACCUCCGCUA